AUCACUCUGUUUUCCUCUUCUUGCCCUAAAGGAGUUUAGACGAUUACCGGGGAAUGAGGGUGUUGAACAUCGGAUCCCCUAUUACCGUACAUGUGGAUAAGUACCCUUGGCCGCAUCAUGAAUGUUAUUGGAGAGCAAAUAAAGGCCAAUUACUUCCUAUCCAGCGUGAGGCUCCUGCCUUUGUUGAUCAAGCAACAGAGCAGCAAAUCCUUUUUAUUGGUAUCAAGGUUGUUGAUCUUCUUGCACCUUCUCAGAACGGUGAGAAAAUGAGAUUGAAUCAAGCAUCCCCAGAAUUUGCAAAGAGAGAAACUCAUCAACACGGGUUAAAAAAAUGUUUUCGUCGGGGAAACGGAAAAAUUAAGGCAGCUUCAUAGCGUGUCAAAUGCUCUUAUUUUUGUUUGGAAGAAACUCUAUCAUUGGUCAGUCGGUGGCAGCGGCUUGGAGGAAUGUCCGAUCUUCAAUUGGGGAAUUCUGAUAGUGGAAUUGGCGGCAACGGGGAGGUUGAAGGAGGUGGAAGUGGAUCAAAGAUGGCACGUCGACAGUCUGAAGAAGUAG
Long non-coding RNA from Dendrobium catenatum, 555 nucleotides. RefSeq lists it as uncharacterized. The record is from RefSeq and is a predicted model, not a curated record. The transcript has 3 exons. NCBI's taxonomy places the organism in Eukaryota, Viridiplantae, Streptophyta, Magnoliopsida, Asparagales, Orchidaceae.